AGUGGCGGACGGGUGAGUAACGCGUGGGUAACCGUGCCUCAUACAGGGGAGUAACAGUUGGAAACGGCUGCUAAUACCGCAUAAGCGCACAGUACCGCAUGGUACCGUGUGAAAAACUCCGGUGGUAUGAGAUGGACCCGCGUCUGAUUAGCUAGUUGGUGGGGUAACGGCCUACCAAGGCGACGAUCAGUAGCCGACCUGAGAGGGUGACCGGCCACAUUGGGACUGAGACACGGCCCAA
Molecule: ribosomal RNA, 241 nt
Filed under: uncultured bacterium
Lineage: Bacteria
Description: partial 16S ribosomal RNA
Rfam family: Bacterial small subunit ribosomal RNA
Source: RNAcentral